AACGUAGGAGACGAGCGUUAUCCGGAUUUACUGGGCGUAAAGCGCGUGUAGGAGGCAAUACAAGUUGGAUGUAAAAUCUCCCGGCUUAACUGGGAGGCGUCGUUCAAGACUGUAUAGCUAGAGUAGUGGAGAGGUAAUCGGAACUCCGGGAGUAGCGGUGAAAUGCGUAGAUAUCCGGAAGAACACCAGAGGCGAAAGCGGAUUACUGGCCACCAACUGACACUAAGACGCGAAAGCCAGGGUAGCAAAC
Molecule: ribosomal RNA, 250 nt
Filed under: uncultured prokaryote
Description: partial 16S ribosomal RNA
Rfam family: Bacterial small subunit ribosomal RNA
Source: RNAcentral